This is a long non-coding RNA of Portunus trituberculatus (swimming crab), 264 nucleotides long. RefSeq lists it as uncharacterized. The transcript has 2 exons. Lineage: Eukaryota; Metazoa; Arthropoda; Malacostraca; Decapoda; Portunidae. The record is from RefSeq and is a predicted model, not a curated record.
UACUAGCUUUGGAGUAGAUAUGGCCGCCCUGCCAGACUGUCAUUUUACUGAUUUUCGCCGCCCAGGGACACUGUAGAUGAGUUCCCCGCUGGUCCACGCCGCCAUUAGGACACCGGGCACUGAGUCACCGUGGGAGGGAUUCAAAGAAAACGGGAGGAGGAGGUGGUGGAGGAGGAGGUGGAGGUGGAGGAGGUGGAGGAGGAGGAGGAGGAAGCACUGGAUCCCUUGAGACUCCUCCACACCCUCACACGAAGGGGAGACUUC